This 28-nucleotide non-coding RNA is filed under the name Mus musculus (house mouse). The record is from RNAcentral. Lineage: Eukaryota; Metazoa; Chordata; Mammalia; Rodentia; Muridae.
UGUUGUCAGAAACUUUGAUGUGCUGUGU